AGUAUACAAGUUUAUUGCAAUAAACGGAGCCUCGUGUAUCUUGUGGGCACCCAGCUGUGAAACAAAUUCAUCUCCCAUGCUAUUGAGACUACCUGUCUUUACAGGUAAAAUAUUUGUAUAUUAGAUACAAUUAACGGACCUGUAGCAAAACAAUGUACCUAACUUUAAGAUGGAUAAGAUUAAUCACAUUUGCAUUUUCGCCGCAUAAUUACAAUUUAUUAACG
Molecule: long non-coding RNA, 224 nt
Filed under: Mytilus galloprovincialis (Mediterranean mussel)
Lineage: Eukaryota; Metazoa; Mollusca; Bivalvia; Mytilida; Mytilidae
Source: RNAcentral